RNAcentral lists this ribosomal RNA (459 nucleotides) under uncultured Nitrosomonas sp. Its description in RNAcentral is "bacterial SSU rRNA". It matches the Rfam family "Bacterial small subunit ribosomal RNA", at positions 198 to 639 of the family's 1533-position model. The record is from RNAcentral. Lineage: Bacteria; Pseudomonadati; Pseudomonadota; Betaproteobacteria; Nitrosomonadales; Nitrosomonadaceae.
GGAGAAAAGCAGGGGAUCGAAAGACCUUGCGCUUUUGGAGCGGCCGAUGUCUGAUUAGCUAGUUGGUGGGGUAAUGGCCUACCAAGGCGACGAUCAGUUGUUGGUCUGAGAGGACGACCAGCCACACUGGGACUGAGACACGGCCCAGACUCCUACGGGAGGCAGCAGUGGGGAAUUUUGGACAAUGGGCGCAAGCCUGAUCCAGCAAUGCCGCGUGAGUGAAGAAGGCCUUCGGGUUGUAAAGCUCUUUCAGUCGAGAAGAAAAGGCUGCAGUGAAUAACUGUAGUUUAUGACGGUAUCGACAGAAGAAGCACCGGCUAACUACGUGCCAGCAGCCGCGGUAAUACGUAGGGUGCGAGCGUUAAUCGGAAUUACUGGGCGUAAAGGGUGCGCAGGCGGUUUUGUAAGUCAGAUGUGAAAUCCCCGGGCUUAACCUGGGAAUUGCGUUGAAACUACAAG